This 1670-nucleotide long non-coding RNA is filed under the name Nicotiana benthamiana. RNAcentral's name for it is "long non-coding RNA (NBEN_LNC025926)". The record is from RNAcentral. Lineage: Eukaryota; Viridiplantae; Streptophyta; Magnoliopsida; Solanales; Solanaceae.
UUUUUUCCAACACCAAACCAACUCAAACCAAACCAUAGUCGGGUUUUUUUUCUCGGCUUGACUCGGAUUAUCGGGUUGGUGCGGUUUGUCGGUUUCUUUGUACACCCCUACCUCCGACAUGCCUAAAACUACACAUAUACACCUGUAAUAGUAUCUGUAGACUCAAAAUCAGCAACUCGAAAGAAGUGGAGUGCGACACCCAAUGCUGAUCUCCGGGGUCCUACUGAGGAGGCACGCCGCCCUGUCUAUCCAAACCUAUGGGCUUGAACACAUUGCAUAUAAAGGUGUCAGUAUGAAAUAUGUACUGAAUAUGUAGGGCGACAAGUGUAACAUGAAAAGUGUAAUUAACAAGAGAAGAGAUAUGGAGACAAUCCAAAAUUUGAAGCUAGCCUCGAUAGGAAACUAAAAUUCAACAUGAAUAUAAAUAUAUGCUCGUGUAAUUGUCGUUCACUAUCGCUACAUAUAAUAUAUCACAUUAUAAAAUAAUAAAUCCCUCUGUGGGGCUAUAAUAUCCAUAACAUAUCCGGCCAUAAUAAAGGCUCGGUAGAAUCGUACCCGGCCACGUAAAGCUUGGUAAUCCCAACUGAUCAGUGAUUACACAGUAGGUGUCAUACCCAGACGAUUAUAGUGCGGCUUGGUAAUGAAAGUAAAUACAUACAUAUAUAAGUGCGUGCGAAACCGACCUUAAAAGAUGUAUUCUAAGAAGAGUCGAAGUGGCUUAUCAUCAUUAUACCCCGACUAUCAUAAUUGUCGCUAAAGUAUUUAAUUUUCAACUACGAACCAACAAGUACUAACAACAUGAGAGUUAUGUAUUAUGAGUACUUUGGAAGUAAGUGUUACUUUUCGGUAAAUAUUAUUCAUGAUUUAUAUGAACGUCGAAAGGAGAACGAGUAAAAAAGAUCUAGUUCUAUUUAAGCAUGGAACAAGAAAAAUCGAGAAUUCAUAGAUAUUCUCUGAAGUAAGUAAUUAUGAGAAAGGAUCAGGUCUAAGCAUCUUUAUGAGUUGAAGGUGAAAUAACUCGAAUCCGACGAAACAAUUCAAUAAACGUUUAUUCGACUUCUAGUCAUACCGAAAAGUAUAGCAAAAGCCCUACAUACCAUGUCAAUGGAUUUAUAUACGAUUUCUGAGACCUCAAAAGCCUUAGUAUAAUAUGAACCAUUCAAUAUCAAAUUCAAGCUCAUAUCUUAUAUAAAUAUUUAUUCAGACAUUUAAGCGAACAACUUACUGGCAUGAAUUUGUAUACUCUUUUAUAGUUUAAUUUUCCCAUAACACACUACCAAAUUUUAAUUUACCACAUCUCCUUAUCGACAUGAUUCCAUCAAUGUCUUCGCAGAUUCAAACAACACUGUAAAACCGUAUAUAACAUCCCCAACAAUCAAGUCAUAUUAAGAGAGGUUUCUUAAAAACAAUCAAAAACAUUUCUAUAGAGUUUCAACUAUAUUUUAGGAAUUCUUAGGAUAGAAGUUUACAAAUAUCAAAGCGGAAGUUAAAUCAUACCUUAUGUAACCAUAAUUACUUUUAAUUCGAGAUUAACUUCAAGGAGAAGUCUACCUACGAAAAAGUGAAACACCAAAGAAUUCGAAGUUAUCAUGGUGUUCUCCAUCUUGAGAAUGACUAAAUUGAUGUUAUGACUGGUUAAAUGGAUGAGAAGAGUUUGAGAGGAAUUCUCA